This 253-nucleotide ribosomal RNA is filed under the name uncultured bacterium. RNAcentral's name for it is "partial 16S ribosomal RNA". It matches the Rfam family "Bacterial small subunit ribosomal RNA", at positions 524 to 776 of the family's 1533-position model. The record is from RNAcentral.
UACGAAGGGGGCGAGCGUUGUUCGGAUUUACUGGGCGUAAAGGGCGCGCAGGCGGCGAUCUUUGUCAGGCGUGAAAGCCCCGGGCUUAACCUGGGAAUGGCGAUGGAGACUGCGAGGCUAGAGUUUGGCAGAGGGGGGUAGAAUUCCACGUGUAGCAGUGAAAUGCGUAGAGAUGUGGAGGAACACCGAUGGCGAAGGCAGCCCCCUGGGUCAAAACUGACGCUCAUGCACGAAAGCGUGGGGAGCAAACAGG